Sander lucioperca (pikeperch) is the source of this 340-nucleotide long non-coding RNA. RefSeq lists it as uncharacterized. The record is from RefSeq and is a predicted model, not a curated record. Lineage: Eukaryota; Metazoa; Chordata; Actinopteri; Perciformes; Percidae. The transcript has 2 exons.
AAUACUUUGGUAGAAUGUAGCGAUGGCUAUGUAUACUGUUUGAAAUGCUUAUCUCGUGCAAUGUACAGAAAGUGCUCAGAAUGACUGGGUGUGUACGCUGUGUCCUAUGUGGCCGACCAGGAUAUAAUUCUUUGUUUACCAGGUACAUAUUGUAUUUUUUUUGUUUACAUAUUUGUUCAAUUUAAUGUUGUGUUGUGAUAAUAUAUAUGCCAUUGUACGUGAUUUAGCAGGGCCAGUGCACGAGGAGCGUGCCCGUGAAUGACUGGGUGUGUACGCUGUGUCCUACGUGGCUGACCAGGAUAUAAUUCUUUGUUUACCAGAAUAAAUCCGACAAGAUUGA